Peromyscus maniculatus bairdii (prairie deer mouse) is the source of this 2224-nucleotide non-coding RNA. The record is from RefSeq and is a predicted model, not a curated record. NCBI's taxonomy places the organism in Eukaryota, Metazoa, Chordata, Mammalia, Rodentia, Cricetidae.
CACCAUCUGAGGAGUAGCAUCUUCCUGCCACUUGUGCCAGGCUGGGGCAGAUGAGAACUGUCAGUGCCAUGGGCCAGGGCUCCCUGAGCUCCCAUAUUGACCCCCAGGGAGAGAAGUACCAGUCUGAGGCCCCGGAAGCUGAGAGAAUCCAGAAACGAGGGCCAGGUUUUGUGCUGCCUUUGAGGCAUGGAAGGGAGCCUAUACGAUACAGCAAGGCUCCGCACGAGCUGAGGGAAACGGAUGUGAAUGGGGAGAUCCACCGAGGCUACGGCCUGAGCGGGAGCCCCAAGCAGACCGUGUGUGUGCAUUAAAUGAACCCCUCAGCCUGAGGAAGAAGCUGGAACACGGCUUAGAACGCUUCCAUUUCCCAGGUGUGCUUCUAUCCGAGAUUGCUCUUUCUGGCAUCCAGGUCACCCCUGACUCUGCAAAGGGCCCCAGGUUGUCCUUAACCCCGAAGUCAAGGUUCGUCCUCAUUGCUGAAGCAGAUGCAGGCCAACCCACACUCUCUGCUACCUGGCACGGAUGCCAGAUAUUCAUCUACACGCGUGUUUAUGAGCUCAGGCCAUUCUCAACACUCCAGAUGGGAAGACAAAGGCACCCAGAGCAGAAGGCGCAGCCCCUGGUGGAAACACCCUUUGUACAGCCUAUGGCAGCACCAUGGCCAGAGGGGAAGGCAAUUUGCAGCCCAAAGGGACUCUAUGGCUGCCCCAGAUCCCUCAGAGUCCAGGAACUGUCUUCCUCUUCAAAGAGUGGCCUCUGGUGUGGAAACCUCAGAGACCUUGCUUCUCAAGAUGCAGAGAGAGCUCAAAGCCAGAGCUCAAGGCCGGAGCACAGAGGACAGCGGCCCUCAGCUACAAAAGGGGUCACUAAGCUGCCAGCUUCUGAUGCCCAUUCCCACUCCUGGCAGGCAUGCGGCGCUUUGUCACUUGGUGAAGAGUGUGGUUCUUGGGGAAGCACUUCCUGCUUUCCCGAUGACCUCACUGAAGUCCCCUUUAAGAGUCUGCUCCACCCACUGCCAUCUCUCCCAGCCUGCAUCCACGUGGCUCUGAUGAUGGGAAGCACCAGCAAGUGGCACCAGCCAGCAGAAGCCACAUGCAUUACCACUGUCCUUGGCUCUGUGACUCCAGCUAUGAAGAGCAUAUCCUGAGAACAGCAGCCCUUGGAACCCCGUCACCUUUCUCUCCAAGAACAGACCUCACAAGGACACGACCUCCCCGAGCUGAGGGCAUCUGUGCACUCACUCAGGCCCCCCCCAAAAGGGCUUGCUGAAUGGGAAAAGCACCAACCGUGAGGCAGCAGGGGACAGAGAUGACACCAGGCUGACAGUGAAGGAAAUUCUUGGUGUUUCCAAGUAGGCAUUUCCAGGGUACAGACUCUGCAGAGUCACGCUGGUGUUGGUCCAGCACCUUCUGAGUACUGUGCGGGUGAAGACAGAUUACAGAGGUGAGGGAUCUUGAAUGUGGGCACGCAGGGCACUUCAGAGAAAGUUCCAGAACUUCAGGAAGGAUGAACUGUCCAAACAGACUCUGGAGGCCUGUCCAAGGCUUCCCUGCUGGGCUGGAGUGGGGGCAGGGCAGCAUGACCAGGGAUGGGGCUGGGCAUGGCUCUGCGGAUUUAAUGGGCACACAGCAGCUCCUCCUCACUGGAGGAUCACUGGAGGUUUCAGAAACAGAGUCCAUGUACCUAGAAUGUUUUUGUUUUAAAGCACAGACAAUCCUUUUAAAUCUCUCCUUCACCACCCAGGAGGAAACAGGAGAGAUGAUGUACCCUCCCCUAGAUGGCUCAUCACAAACCCAGUCUCCACAUCUUCCUGUCUUCAAACUUGUUCAUGGUGGCUUCUAUCUUCAUGCCUCUCAGGGGAGCAGGACACAAGCUUCAAAUACAAGUCUCCAGGGGAGCCAUGGGAAGGCUCAAAGUACGUGUGUGUGUGUGGGGGGGGGCUCACUUCUGCAUACCCAAGACUGUCCUCCUGCCACAGGAGAAGUUCAGCCUGAUAUGAGACUUCAAUCAAAAUGAUUUAUCUCCCCAAAACACUGAAAAUAUGUCUGUUACUUCCAGAAUUUAUUGUUUGAAUAAAUUGGCAUAUUUAAUGCAAUGCUUUAAAUGUGACAUUUAAACAAACUUAUUAAUCUAACAUGAUGCUUGAACCUUUUCUUCCUGCCUAGAAGUUAGUACAAUUAUUUCUUUAUUCUCAAUAUUUUAAAUACAUUUCUGAUUUUUUGUU